Long non-coding RNA from Haliotis rubra (blacklip abalone), 100 nucleotides. RefSeq lists it as uncharacterized. Lineage: Eukaryota; Metazoa; Mollusca; Gastropoda; Lepetellida; Haliotidae. The record is from RefSeq and is a predicted model, not a curated record. The transcript is spliced from 4 exons.
AAAGUUUCAUUUAAUCAACGUGAGUUAUAUAUCAAGACGCUUUGCCUCUUUCAGAAGCCAGCCCCGACUUCUGGCUUUGGUUUUGAUACCCUUUCCCUCA